Molecule: ribosomal RNA, 116 nt
Filed under: Candidatus Nealsonbacteria bacterium CG15_BIG_FIL_POST_REV_8_21_14_020_37_12
Lineage: Bacteria; Candidatus Nealsoniibacteriota
Also listed under: 1 other name
Source: RNAcentral
CUGGGUGAUUUAGCUUGUCGUGUCCUACUCGUUUCCAUUCCGAACACGCAAGUAAAAGCGACAAGCCCUGAUGAUACUACCCUGUUCGCGGGGUGGGAAAGUAAGGUUCGCCUGGA